ACGAACGCUGGCGGCGUGCCUAAUACAUGCCAGUUGAGCGCUGAAGGUUGGUACUUGUACCAACUGGAUGAGCAGCGAACGGGUGAGUAACGCGUGGGGAAUCUGCCUUUGAGCGGGGGACAACAUUUGGAAACGAAUGCUAAUACCGCAUAAAAACUUUAAACACAAGUUUUAAGUUUGAAAGAUGCAAUUGCAUCACUCAAAGAUGAUCCCGCGUUGUAUUAGCUAGUUGGUGAGGUAAAGGCUCACCAAGGCGAUGAUACAUAGCCGACCUGGGAGGGUGAUCGGCCACAUUGGGACUGAGACACGGCCCAAACUCCUACGGGAGGCAGCAGUAGGGAAUCUUCGGCAAUGGACGAAAGUCUGACCGAGCAACGCCGCGUGAGUGAAGAAGGUUUUCGGAUCGUAAAACUCUGUUGGUAGAGAAGAACGUUGGUGAGAGUGGAAAGCUCAUCAAGUGACGGUAACUACCCAGAAAGGGACGGCUAACUACGUG
Molecule: ribosomal RNA, 496 nt
Filed under: uncultured bacterium
Lineage: Bacteria
Description: partial 16S ribosomal RNA
Rfam family: Bacterial small subunit ribosomal RNA
Source: RNAcentral